Long non-coding RNA from Hibiscus syriacus, 132 nucleotides. RefSeq lists it as uncharacterized. The record is from RefSeq and is a predicted model, not a curated record. The transcript has 3 exons. NCBI's taxonomy places the organism in Eukaryota, Viridiplantae, Streptophyta, Magnoliopsida, Malvales, Malvaceae.
GAAGAAAAGUAGUGUGAUUUUGGAUGUAUUUACCAAGACUGACACUGAAAACGAAAUCAACUGCAAGUGCUAGCAAACGGUUGUUUCUGCUCAGAGCUUCUUCUUUCAUUUUGCUCUUCCUUCUGGGAUAAA